RNAcentral lists this long non-coding RNA (286 nucleotides) under Capsicum annuum. RNAcentral describes it as "long non-coding RNA (CANN_LNC014127)". Lineage: Eukaryota; Viridiplantae; Streptophyta; Magnoliopsida; Solanales; Solanaceae. The record is from RNAcentral.
UUGGGGUCUAUGAAAUACCUGUUGCAUCAAAGGUCUGAGGCUCGGACUAGCUGAUCAUAGUAGGUAUGUCACCCAUGUUAGUGAACCCUGGGAUGUCAUAUCCAUGCCCACCAGCCUCAAAAACUCUUCGAUUAUAGCCGCCACCAACGUAACCUUUUUGGAAAUUUGGUUAGCAAUAUCUUUGAUUAGUCCUAUAUCUGUCGUGGUCUUUGGCCUUAAGAACUGAUCAAUCCCCAGGAGCUCUGGCACUCCCGCAUCCAAAUAGAUCUGUGUCAACAUAAAGUUU